RNAcentral lists this long non-coding RNA (1166 nucleotides) under Triticum aestivum (bread wheat). Its description in RNAcentral is "long non-coding RNA (TAES_LNC011105)". The record is from RNAcentral. Lineage: Eukaryota; Viridiplantae; Streptophyta; Magnoliopsida; Poales; Poaceae.
AAGGUUGUAUACCAACUGAACUUUUACACGAAGAGGAGAGCCUGAUAAUGAGAGAUUCAGGGGAUUGAACAGGACUAUAAAUCGAUGAGUCCAAAUAAACAGGGGCUGGGUUUGAACAUGCACAGGUAUGGUGCCACGUACGGGGAUUCAGCACAAGAUAGUUCAAACUACAACCACAUCAAAGUGCUCUUUCUUUCUUCUGGUCGUUGCUAGCUCCUGAUGAAACUGAUACUUUCCAUUCCUUGAUGGCACGGUUUUGAAAUUUUCCAUCCUCAUGUCAUGUUGACACCACAUGUUGGAAUAGAGAUAUUACGAGAUCAGGCAAAUCUAAAAAUGCUAUUUAGUAGGUGGUUCCUUGCAAGAAUUUCAGUAUUUUUCACUAGGCGCAUUGUGAAGUUAUCAUUUCUCAGCUGUCCCAGGAAAUGAGAAAAGUGGGGUAGCUUUCCUCAUCAAUAUCAAGAAAUGAAUAGACAAUAUUUUCCGGUCUAGUAAAUAAUUAGAGGCAACUUGGGAUGGCACCGGCUGGGGGCUCUUCACUCGGAAGGAGGGUCAGCAAAGUUUGAGCUGAAAAGGCGGGUUUGAGGAGCGUGUGUGUGUGUGGACUUUUACUGCAGGGCAUGUAGACUGUUUGCCAGCUCAAUAUAAGUUGUGAAAUGACCUCGGCUGAUUGUUGUUUCAGAAAUCUCUUCCUAGUUGGGAAAGGAAGAUGGCGACUGUUGGAGUUGCUGGGACACUUUGGGGGAUCCAGAAGGCCAAAAAAUAUGGCAUGUUUCGAGCUGCGAUCCCAGCUCACUUGCCUCUCAUGUUUGCUACGUGCUGGAUUGGCAACCGCUGGAGCUUGGUACAAGCGAGGCGACGGAGGGAAAAAGGGAGGCACCGCAACAGGGCUUAAUUUUGCUUGCAGAAUGAACAAUUUUGCUUCCAGAAUUGCAGAAUAGGCUUAAUUGCAGAUUCUGGAAGCAUGGCAAUUCAGGUUACUUUGAAUCUCGGAAUCAUCCUCCCUGACUUACACCCAAGUGAACAAGCUAUCUAUAGUAAGUGAAAGUUUGUUUCUGAAUCUAUCAGGCCUUAAUAAUUGUUCAAGUCUGAUUUUUAUGUUCUCUUGUAAAUUCUAAUGGCAGCUGCAAUUUUUGACAAGCAAAUUUCAUCAGUACUGCUGUACUGGU